Molecule: ribosomal RNA, 501 nt
Filed under: uncultured bacterium
Lineage: Bacteria
Description: partial 16S ribosomal RNA
Rfam family: Bacterial small subunit ribosomal RNA
Source: RNAcentral
AUUGAACGCUGGCGGCAGGCUUAACACAUGCAAGUCGAGCGGAGGGAGGUAGCUUGCUACUGAUCUUAGCGGCGGACGGGUGAGUAAUGCUUAGGAAUCUGCCUAUUAGUGGGGGACAACAUUUCGAAACGAAUGCUAAUACCGCAUACGUCCUACGGGAGAAAGCAGGGGAUCUUCGGACCUUCCGCUAAUAGAUGAGCCUAAGUCGGAGUAGCUAGUUGGUGGGGUAACGGCCCACCAAGGCGACGAUCUGUAGCGGGUCUUGGAGGAUUGUCCGCCACCACUGGACUGAGACACGGGCCAGGCUCCUUCGGGAGGCCGCAGUGGGGAAUAUUGGGCCAUGGGCGGAAGCCUUAUCCCGGCAAGGCGCGUGUGUGAAGAAGGCCUUAUGGUUUUAAAGCACUUUAAGCUAGGAAGAGACUACUUUAGUUAAUACCUAGAGAUAGUUGACGUUACUCGCAGAAUAAGCACCGGCUAACUCUGUGCCAGCCGCCGCGGUAA